Molecule: long non-coding RNA, 510 nt
Filed under: Pongo abelii (Sumatran orangutan)
Lineage: Eukaryota; Metazoa; Chordata; Mammalia; Primates; Hominidae
Description: lincRNA
Source: RNAcentral
ACUCAGAAGCUGCCUUGAAGAAAGGGUCUACCCAGCAUGGGUUGCUUAGACUUGGUGGUGUGCUGGAGCAGGCUCCUACCAGCUGGAAAGAACCAGUUCAAUACAUCUCAACUCCAUGUUCAGAGUUGUCAAAGAACCAAUUGUUAAAUAUUUACUGGCACUCCACUGCUUAGAUUUUUCCAGUGCUUGCAGUGCUAACCAGGAGCUCAUCCCUGGAGGAGAGGCAGAGAAUGUGUACUCCCAGACGCGGCCAGCUUCCAGGAAAAGAGGGAGGAGCCAAGCAGAGCAUGCCCACAUCAAUCUUCCAGCAUUUAAUGGCCAUAGAAGUUACUGAACCUCCCUUGGAUGGAUAGAAGAUGGCAUUAUCUUUCUUAAAUAUGAUACCUCUUUUCUUUUUGUUCCCUUGACACUUGAGGAGGGAGGCCAAGGGUUGAUCAUGCAAGCAAGUUUGUGCAUUUUGCACAUUUAUUAAGUUACGUUUUUGAGGAAAUUAAAAGAUCACAAGGGCUU